Molecule: ribosomal RNA, 392 nt
Filed under: uncultured bacterium
Lineage: Bacteria
Description: bacterial SSU rRNA
Rfam family: Bacterial small subunit ribosomal RNA
Source: RNAcentral
AUUGAACGCUGGCGGCAGGCCUAACACAUGCAAGUCGAGCGGAUGAGUGGAGCUUGCUCCAUGAUUCAGCGGCGGACGGGUGAGUAAUGCCUAGGAAUCUGCCUGGUAGUGGGGGACAACGUUUCGAAAGGAACGCUAAUACCGCAUACGUCCUACGGGAGAAAGCAGGGGACCUUCGGGCCUUGCGCUAUCAGAUGAGCCUAGGUCGGAUUAGCUAGUAGGUGAGGUAAUGGCUCACCUAGGCGACGAUCCGUAACUGGUCUGAGAGGAUGAUCAGUCACACUGGAACUGAGACACGGUCCAGACUCCUACGGGAGGCAGCAGUGGGGAAUAUUGGACAAUGGGCGAAAGCCUGAUCCAGCCAUGCCGCGUGUGUGAAGAAGGUCUUCGGA